RNAcentral lists this ribosomal RNA (253 nucleotides) under uncultured bacterium. RNAcentral describes it as "partial 16S ribosomal RNA". It matches the Rfam family "Bacterial small subunit ribosomal RNA", at positions 524 to 776 of the family's 1533-position model. The record is from RNAcentral.
UACAGGGGGUGCAAACGUUGCUCGGAAUCAUUGGGCGUAAAGCGCACGUAGGCGGUCUGUUAUGUCGGAUGUGAAAGCCCUCGGCUCAACUGAGGAAGUGCAUCCGAAACUGGCAGGCUAGAGUACUAAAGAGGGUCGCGGAAUUCCCGGUGUAGAGGUGAAAUUCGUAGAUAUCCGGAGGAACACCAGUGGCGAAAGCGGCCACCUGGACUGCACCUGACGCUGACACGCGAAAGCUAGGGGAGCGAACGGG